GAUGAACGCUGGCGGCGUGCCUAAUACAUGCAAGUCGAGCGAACAGACGAGGAGCUUGCUCCUCUGACGUUAGCGGCGGACGGGUGAGUAACACGUGGAUAACCUACCUAUAAGACUGGGAUAACUUCGGGAAACCGGAGCUAAUACCGGAUAAUAUAUUGAACCGCAUGGUUCAAUAGUGAAAGACGGUUUUGCUGUCACUUAUAGAUGGAUCCGCGCCGCAUUAGCUAGUUGGUAAGGUAACGGCUUACCAAGGCAACGAUACGUAGCCGACCUGAGAGGGUGAUCGGCCACACUGGAACUGAGACACGGUCCAGACUCCUACGGGAGGCAGCAGUAGGGAAUCUUCCGCAAUGGGCGAAAGCCUGACGGAGCAACGCCGCGUGAGUGAUGAAGGUCUUCGGAUCGUAAAACUCUGUUAUUAGGGAAGAACAAAUGUGUAAGUAACUAUGCACGCCUUGACGGUACCUAAUCAGAAAGCCACGGCUAACUACGU
This 496-nucleotide ribosomal RNA is filed under the name uncultured bacterium. RNAcentral's name for it is "partial 16S ribosomal RNA". It matches the Rfam family "Bacterial small subunit ribosomal RNA", at positions 28 to 506 of the family's 1533-position model. The record is from RNAcentral.